GAUGAACGCUGGCGGCGUGCCUAAUACAUGCAAGUCGAGCGAACGGACGAGAAGCUUGCUUCUCUGAUGUUAGCGGCGGACGGGUGAGUAACACGUGGAUACCCUACCUAUAAGACUGGGAUAACUUCGGGAAACCGGCGCUAAUACCGGAUAAUAUUUUGAACCGCAUGGUUCAAAAGUGAAAGACGGUCUUUCUGUCACUUAUAGAUGGAUCCGCGCUGCAUUAGCUAGUUGGUAAGGUAACGGCUUACCAAGGCAACGAUGCAUAGCCGACCUGAGAGGGUGAUCGGCCACACUGGAACUGAGACACGGUCCAGACUCCUACGGGAGGCAGCAGUAGGGAAUCUUCCGCAAUGGGCGAAAGCCUGACGGAGCAACGCCGCGUGAGUGAUGAAGGUCUUCGGAUCGUAAAACUCUGUUAUUAGGGAAGAACAUAUGUGGAAGGAACUGUGCACAUCUUGACGGUACCUAAUCAGAAAGCCACGGCUAACUACGUG
This 497-nucleotide ribosomal RNA is filed under the name uncultured bacterium. Its description in RNAcentral is "partial 16S ribosomal RNA". It matches the Rfam family "Bacterial small subunit ribosomal RNA", at positions 28 to 507 of the family's 1533-position model. The record is from RNAcentral.